RNAcentral lists this ribosomal RNA (424 nucleotides) under uncultured prokaryote. RNAcentral's name for it is "bacterial SSU rRNA". It matches the Rfam family "Bacterial small subunit ribosomal RNA", at positions 355 to 796 of the family's 1533-position model. The record is from RNAcentral.
UGGGGAAUAUUGGACAAUGGGCGCAAGCCUGAUCCAGCCAUGCCGCGUGGAUGAAGAAGGCCCUAGGGUUGUAAAAUCCUUUCGCCAGGGAUGAUAAUGACAGUACCUGGUAAAGAAGCCCCGGCUAAUUUCGUGCCAGCAGCCGCGGUAAUACGAAAGGGGCUAGCGUUGUUCGGAAUUACUGGGCGUAAAGCGCGCGUAGGCGGCCUGCCAAGUUAGAGGUGAAAUCCCAGGGCUCAACCCUGGAACUGCCUUUAAAACUGGCAAGCUGGAGGAUGUGAGAGGAGUGUGGAAUUCCGAGUGUAGAGGUGAAAUUCGUAGAUAUUCGGAAGAACACCAGUGGCGAAGGCGACACUCUGGCGCAUUUCUGACGCUGAGGCGCGAAAGCGUGGGGAGCAAACAGGAUUAGAUACCCCCGUAGUCC